Molecule: ribosomal RNA, 497 nt
Filed under: uncultured bacterium
Lineage: Bacteria
Description: partial 16S ribosomal RNA
Rfam family: Bacterial small subunit ribosomal RNA
Source: RNAcentral
GAUGAACGCUGGCGGCGUGCCUAAUACAUGCAAGUCGAGCGAACAGACGAGGAGCUUGCUCCUCUGACGUUAGCGGCGGACGGGUGAGUAACACGUGGAUAACCUACCUAUAAGACUGGGAUAACUUCGGGAAACCGGAGCUAAUACCGGAUAAUAUAUUGAACCGCAUGGUUCAAUAGUGAAAGACGGUUUUGCUGUCACUUAUAGAUGGAUCCGCGCCGCAUUAGCUAGUUGGUAAGGUAACGGCUUACCAAGGCAACGAUGCGUAGCCGACCUGAGAGGGUGAUCGGCCACACUGGCACUGAGACACGGUCCAGACUCCUACGGGAGGCCACAGUAGGGAAUCUUCCGCAAUGGGCGAAAGCCUGACGGAGCAACGCCGCGUGGGUGAUGAAGGUCUUCGGAUCGUAAAACUCUGUUAUUAGGGAAGAACAAAGGUGUAAGUGACUGUGCACGUCUUGACGGUACCUAAUCAGAAAGCAACGGCUAACUACGUG